AAAAACAAUAAAUACACUUCUUAAAAACAAUUGAAACAUUAGAAAAGGAUAUCCAGUGGGAAGUAGGUCCACAUCUCUCAGAAGUGUUCCAUGCACAUACAAACAUAUGUUUUAUAUCAAUUUAUAACUCUAUCUUUGCAUAUCAUCUUAUUCUCUCCUUUUUUUCACAGGUACCAUGUCCUCUUCUGUACCUUGAUAUUUUUCACUUAAGUAAUUUUGGAGGUUUUUCCAGAACAGUACAUGUAGAUCAAGCUCAUUUUCAAUGCUGCAUGGUAUUCCAGGAUGGAGAUCUGGGGAGACAGAGUGGUGGGGAUUCUUCAGAAACCCACCGAUGAAAGAAGACACCUUCAUUAAAAUAGACUUCUGGAUUUCCAUCAGUGACAGGCUUCUGGAGGGGCAGAGCCAAGUGGCAGCCCUUAACAGCCAGCAGCAAGCAGGCACUUCAGCUGAGUCCUGUGCAUGCUAAGGUCUGAGAACUCUGACCUUAAGAGAAGGAGAGGCUGGGAAGCCUUGAGAAGGGACCCUGUAACAUUGCUAAGGAAGAUGGUUAUUGGAGAAUGACCAUGGAUUCUUAUAGAAUCAUUCAGCAGCAUCCCUGGCCUCUACCCCCCGGUUGUGACAUCCAGAAAUCUCUACAGACAUCGCCAGAUAUCCUCGGGGGAGCAGAACUGCCCUCACUUGAGAAUCCCUGGCCUACAGCAUGUCUAGGUAAGCCUCGAGGUGAGUAAAGCACUGGCUGACACUUAACUGCAACCUCGUGAGAGACCCCGAGCCAGAUCUUUCUAACUAAGCUAUUCCUGGAUUCCUGACUCUCAGAAACCAUGAGAGAUAAUGAAUGCUUGUUGCUACGUUUGGGGAUAAUGUGUUUUGCAGCAAUACACUGAUGCACCAAGCCAUACGGCUGGCGUACACAGCAGCAAUUGUCGUCCAGUGUAGGUAGUGUACACCAGACUGGAGUUGAGCAGGUCCUGAAUGUGCAGAUGGUGGAGGAAGAAACUGUUUGGACCAGGUUCACAGAUGGUCCCUUACAAUUUGAAGGCAUCAGAUAGAUGUGGACUGUAGAAGCAUUAUAGCCCAAAGCAGGAAUGGGAGCCCAGGGGAAUGCAGACAGCCCACGUCACACUCCUGAAGUUGCCAAAAAUCCCUUUAAAAUGAUCCAACAGAUGUCCCUCCUUGGGGUCUAGCGGAUAUAAAUCACAAUGGUCUGCUUUCAAUUCCUAACUUGGUGUCUUAGGGGCAGCAAAAUCAAUCACUCUCAGGUGAGAAAGAGCUUCAGGAUCAGGAGGCAGGGUGCCUUCUCCGUGGAAAGAGGAUGGAGUUUAAGGAGAGACACAUGAGUUUGAAUCUGGACUGGCUCUGCCAUUGGCUGUAGGAACCUC
Long non-coding RNA from Physeter macrocephalus (sperm whale), 1379 nucleotides. RefSeq lists it as uncharacterized. The transcript is spliced from 9 exons. NCBI's taxonomy places the organism in Eukaryota, Metazoa, Chordata, Mammalia, Artiodactyla, Physeteridae. The record is from RefSeq and is a predicted model, not a curated record.